AUGGUUUUAUACUUUGAGCGACAUGCAUUGGCAGUAGAAGAAUCAGGAAAUCAGUCCAGUGAAGUUUAUUACUGUUUAUUCGUGCAGCUCUUAGUUGGCUACUCUCGUUCUGCAGCACUUGAUCUGCAGCUCGCAACACUCGCUCUGCAUUCCACAAUCCAUAAUGCACACAGUCCUUGCCUCUCGUCCUCUCCUUUGCUCAUCAGUUGA
Molecule: non-coding RNA, 210 nt
Organism: Vicia faba (fava bean)
Lineage: Eukaryota; Viridiplantae; Streptophyta; Magnoliopsida; Fabales; Fabaceae
Source: the annotation of a GenBank genome assembly